UACGAAGGGGGCUAGCGUUGUUCGGAUUUACUGGGCGUAAAGCGCACGUAGGCGGAUCGUUAAGUCGGGGGUGAAAUCCUGGAGCUCAACUCCAGAACUGCCUUCGAUACUGGCGAUCUUGAGUCCGGAAGAGGUGAGUGGAACUCCUAGUGUAGAGGUGGAAUUCGUAGAUAUUAGGAAGAACACCAGUGGCGAAGGCGGCUUACUGGUCCGGAACUGA
Molecule: ribosomal RNA, 220 nt
Filed under: uncultured bacterium
Lineage: Bacteria
Description: partial 16S ribosomal RNA
Rfam family: Bacterial small subunit ribosomal RNA
Source: RNAcentral